This 484-nucleotide ribosomal RNA is filed under the name uncultured bacterium. RNAcentral describes it as "bacterial SSU rRNA". It matches the Rfam family "Bacterial small subunit ribosomal RNA", at positions 355 to 837 of the family's 1533-position model. The record is from RNAcentral.
UAGGGAAUAUUGGUCAAUGGGUGAGAGCCUGAACCAGCCAUGCCGCGUGCAGGAAGACGGCCUUCUGGGUUGUAAACUGCUUUUGUCAGGGGAUAAAAUUUCCUUGCGAGGAACAUUGAAGGUACCUGGUGAAUAAGCCACGGCUAACUACGUGCCAGCAGCCGCGGUAAUACGUAGGUGGCAAGCGUUGUCCGGAUUUAUUGGGUUUAAAGGGUGCGUAGGCGGCCUAUUAAGUCAGUGGUGAAAUAUCCCGGCUUAACCGGGGGGGUGCCAUUGAUACUGAUGGGCUUGAGUACAGAUGAGGUAGGCGGAAUUGACGGUGUAGCGGUGAAAUGCAUAGAUAUCGUCAAGAACACCUAUAGCGAAGGCAGCUUACUAGGCUGUAACUGACGCUGAGGCACGAAAGUGUGGGGAUCAAACAGGAUUAGAUACCCUGGUAGUCCACACUGUAAACGUUGAUUACUCGCUGUGUGCGAUAUACAGU